This is an RNA transcript of Schistocerca gregaria, 5238 nucleotides long. It is a transcript of the gene named guanine nucleotide exchange factor subunit Rich-like, with no coding region annotated. Lineage: Eukaryota; Metazoa; Arthropoda; Insecta; Orthoptera; Acrididae. The record is from RefSeq and is a predicted model, not a curated record. The transcript has 5 exons.
AAAAGUGGUUUAAGCAAGAGGCUGAGUGGUCGCUAUAGAUGUUAUUUACUCUUGAUAGAUGAACCUGCCUAAGUGAGUUCAAAACUUUUGACCCCCUUGAUUUUUUGGCCUUCCAUGUAUUUUCUUUACGGAUGGCCCAAGGGCUUUGUGCUUUCUUCAGGUGAACCGGAGCAGAUCCUGGCUAUUGAAUACCGUUCUGAUUUUGUUUAUUUUGCAUGCAUCACGGCAUCUGUGCUCUACGUCUGGUCUGGACAGCAAGAUCGAAUAUUAUUGGGGCGCUACAGAAGGACAGUUGCAUCAAUCGAAAAAGAUGGAAACAACGAGGGCGUUUAUUGGAGGCCUUGUGGAAAUUUAGCUUUAUUUACAGAAGGAGGGUCCAUUUAUAUGAUUAAGCUGCGCUCGCUUAUGGACGAGUCGGACGGAGAGGGCUUUUUCGAAGGCGCGCACUACAUCAAAGAAAAAUUUCGGUGCCAAGUCAAACUCUCGCUCGAUAGAGUUUUUUUGGCAUCCGGGAACAGAAUCGCUUGGCUGUUUGAGAAAAACAGCAGCUUUUACCUGUGUACAUGCAAUGGAAUCUUACAGAGUUGGUCUAUGGCGAAAGACAAACACCCUCUUAAAUGGGAGACGUCUGUGGCAUUUAUCGCACGCACUGCUCAGACAAACACUGAAAUAUUGACAUGCCAGGAGGAAAAAAGGCAGAACUCGUCAGCGAACACCUGCCAAGUGCAGGAGACUGAAUCUAGCGAGUAUCAAUGCGAGAAGGAAGGAGAUAUUGAAGGACACGUCAGGAAGGUAGCAUAUUCUCAUCAGAGUGGGCUGAUGAUGUUAGUAUUAAAAGGAGGCAAGGUGGCGGCGCUUAAAGGAGAUUUGACAAAUGGAUUUAAGUAUUUAAAAUUUUUUUGGCUUUUUACAGAAAAUGCGGUUGAUGUGGCAAUCAGUAGUCACAAGAAGCUGAUAGCAAUUGGAUAUCUGUCGGGAGAUGUAGAUUUGUACAAUUUCGAUUUUAAGUUUGAGAGGAGAUUGUCUUUGGGUCCUUGGGGAAUUAAGCAAGUAGAUAGCGGCCAAGUGAGCUGUCUUGCCUGGUCUCAUGAUGAGAAUGCCUUGGCCGUGGGAUAUUUGACUCGCGGGUUUUCUAUUUGGUCCAAUUAUGGAUGUCGCUUGAAUUGCACGAUUUCCCAGAUGAACGUGAUAUUGGAACAUAGUCGAGAUGAUCGAGCGAACGAGGAGCAAGCGCAGAGUGUGGAGAGUAAUGCUCCGAAUAUGACGAAGAUUGAGUCGAUGUUGAAGCCGGAAGCAGCGAGACAUGGAUUAACGCAUAUAGUGUGGGGUCCCGAAGGUUAUCAUAUUCUGACAGCUUCUCGCGUCAAUGUACUGGACCAAUAUGCAGUGGUGAAGGCGUCUGUUGCGGCCAAUUCUGGCAUCAAUGAAUGCAGACGCAUAUUGCUGCAGGGAGAGGACAGUGUGUUGUUGUUGCAGAAUUAUGGAAAGGGGGCAUCUCGGCUGCAUUGGAAGCGGCUGGUUGUUCCCAGUGCCUUUGUACACGACAAUUGGCCCGUUAUGAGUGUGUGUACGAAUACCCGAGGCGAUUAUCUGGCGGUGAGUGGACAUCGAGGGGUGAGCAUAUGCAACGUUCAAACGGGUUCCUGGAAAUUGUUUUGGGACGUUUCAGAAGAGAGACAGCUAGAAGACGUCGUCAUGACUUGGUUUGAUUCUUUUUUGGUGGUUGCUAAUUAUUGUGGCAAAAAGCGUACAACUGAAAUUUUUUUUUUCUGCCAAAGCAGACCUUUGGCAUUUGGUCAGGCUGCUUUUCGCGAGAGGUAUACAAAUCAGUCUAGGCCGGUUUGUCUGGUUUGCAGCGGAUCCAAUUUGAUGUUACAGACAGAGGAGACGUGCACUCAGUACGAAGUUGUCGAGGCACACGAAAGGGGGCGCACGAUUUCUUUGAGACAGAUCUACGGCGUUCGGAUGUCCGAAGGGUGGUCGCGUCCUAGAUUGGUCUGUCUUCUGCCGACAGGCGUCAAGGUGCUUUUCGAAAAGAAGGAGCGUUGCGCAAAGUUCAACAAUCGAGGGUCUACCGCCAAAUUGGUGGAAUUGGAUAAAGCAGGUGCCAUGUAUUUGACUGAUGCAGAGAGAUCAACAAAACUUGAGCUCAGUCGAUCCGUGGAACAAUUUUGGCUCAUGGAAGAGGGCAUAGAGGGAUCUGAUUGUAUGCUAUGGGUGUACGGAGAAGCAGGUUUAGACGUUUGGUAUCCUUUUUUGUCAUCAUCCAACGAUGGUCCGGAAUUGUUUUUGUCUCACUGGAGGAGAAUGGAAUUUGAUCAUGAGGUGUGUCCACUUGGAUUUUUGGCUGACAGUGGUACGAUUAUUGGUAUUUCUCAGCACCAAGUACAUUUAUCUAUGGUUGACACUCCACAUUUCGAGCUUCAGCUGAAGGUACAGCCUUACCUUCACUACGUGUUGCUUUCAAUGUUGGAGGGAGGAGACUUCAGCACUGCCCAGUGGCUUGCUGAAAGAUAUCGCUUGUCACCUUUGUUUAAUCGGUUUUUGGAGUUGCUGCUCCACGAGGCGCUUCAGAUACAGUGCUCAUUGGAGCGCAAAUCUUCCAAGAGUAGCCUGGCGCAGGACAGGGGCGGUAAGUUGGUUGAAGAAGACAGAAAAGGUGAUUCUGGUCGUUACAUAGAGGAAGACGACGGAGAAAAGUCAGAAGCAUCUGUCAGACCUUUGAACGACGCCGCGGCCGAGAGGGAGCCGAGCCUGAUUUGGAGGGCGUUAUCCUCUUCUCGUAAGAAGUCAAGUCCGAUGCUUCUUAAGGACGUACUGUCUUUUUUAAAAAUGUUCGAAGAGAUUGUUUAUAUGAGCACAAUUGUGGCCUGCGCAAGAAAGUCUGAUCCCGAGAGUUGGUCAGUUUUGUUUGAUCCGAAGUUUGGCUGUUCGAAUCCGAAGGUGUAUUUCGAAAAGAGUUUAGAGUUGGAGAAUAUAUCAGUGGCGAUGUCUUAUCUUCGGGUUAUUCAAUUGUUAGAGUCUCCUGAAGACUUUUAUCAGUCAGGUCUGAAAUGUUUAGAAUUUUGUCUGCGCACCAACGAUAAAAAACUUGGACAGCUGAUGCGGUUUUUGAAGCCAUACAUGAUCUGUAAAAAUGAUGAAGGUGAUCAGCUCGGAGAUGCAGAACUUGAUGCAUCAUCGAGGUUUCUUCCCUUGCAAGAGAAGCUUUUGUUGGAACAUGCCGAGAAUUUGAUGACUAAUUUCCAAUUCAGGCGUCUGAUUGAUUAUGCUAGAACCGUUGGUCAUGACCUUCGAACGUGGCUGAUUCAAAAGAAAGACCUUUUGAAUUCAAAGGAGGAGGAUUAUGAAUCGAUUCUUUCACAGCUCCAUACGCAAUUUGAUGUUCCUCGGCCUACUCACUUCCCUUUGAACUAUCUGCUCCAUAAUGCGGGAAGUGGUAACAACUUGGUUGACUACUCCAUUAUCUACUUUCCCAACUCGAACUAUCUGAUCGAGAAGCCCCAUAAACCCCAGGGUGGUUCUCACGGCUUUUCUCUUGAGAAAUCCAAUCUCGCCGAUGUUUACGCUCAGAUGGAGGAAAGCAACGUGGUUCGUUCUUUUCAGGAUUUGGAGGUCCUACUCCGAGAAACGUUAGCGUCUGGCUGUACUGUCUGGGCCCUCAUUUUGGCUACAAUCUUAUUUCGACUCCCCGUCAUUAUUAAAAUUCUGGGUCGCCACCCAGAAUAUCUGCAAAAGUACAGGGAAAUGAUUCAAAUGGAUGACUCAAAUGGAUACACCGAACUUUUGGCAUAUAUAGAACAACAGCUAUAGCAUUUUUAAUCUACGUUCGUUAAUUAGAGCUGAUUUGACCAAGGACUUUGGGCAGUUUGUUUCUUUUUUUUUUGACACGAAAAACUAUGAUAAAAGUUGAAGUUGGUUACUUUUUUUUUUCCAGCCGACAAGGCCGAUAUAGCCACUUAAAGCUUCUUAAGUCCCUCAUCUUCGAGGCUUGUACGUGGAGUCCCAAAUGCCAUCACUUUUUCGCGUUAUCUCGCUUAAAAAAAAACUGUUUGAACGCGGUUUUUUUUUUAUGAAGGGCAGACUUUGAUUCGACGCGCCCACAUACAAGCGAUGCGUGGGGACCUGUCCGAUUUUUCGUAGUUCUGCACGUUUUCGCCAUCGAAAGCCUUCAAGUUUCUGAAGUUCGUUGGUUUCAGCCGCGACGAGUCCCAUAUUACGUGUAAGCAGCUCUCAGCAUAUACAUUACACACAAACGUGUAUAAAGAAGAGCUAGUCAAAGUUUGCCAUAUAUUUCCCCAUUGCGAGCUCGACCGAGUGGAGACUUUAGGCGUUGUGCUUUUUCCCAGACACAUUUGGAUGAAUUGGCUAGUUUACGUACUGGACAGCCUUGGCCGCGAGAGAGACCAUGGCGAGCUAUCUUGACGGCUAUCUUGAGAGUGCGUUUUUUUUUUUAAUUUCCGGACGUUUGCGCUCUUUUGCUGAUUUCGUCCGCUGCAGGUAUUGCCACGCUUCCGGUGGACCUGGAUAGGUGUUUUACUCUUAUUCGAGAGUUGGAUGAAAAAUCUCAGUGUACGUUCCUUUAGAGAGACCUGUCGGACGUUGUCGCACACAAUCCGUGUGUCUAAGACAAAACGAAAAAUGGAGUCCUUUUAGACAAAGUGGAGACUAUGGUGGUCAGGAACAUCGAGGAGGGUGUCGAACUAGAUGAAUCAGUUACGGAAGAGACGAUCAAGGAGCUUUAUCAGGACUUGAAAGUGUGUGCCUCGCUUGGUGAUGAGAGAAUUUCAUUGGCUGCUCAGGCUUACGAGCAGGUACGAUUUUUUUAUCACGCGCGCCGUACGGCAUACAAAGUGCUUACAAAAAGGGUGUUAGCUUGACAAGCACAUAGCGCGUUUGGAUCAGGACUUGAAAAGAGUUGAGCAGGAUCUUCAGCGGCGAGGGAGUGCGUUUCGAGGAGAGGAUCAGGAGCCCAAGACGCCGAGUGAUGUGAGGGGGUCGUUAUCUUUUAGAGAGAUGCCCGAUAUGGUGUCCCAUGUUGAGAGCGAGCCGACGUGAGUUACUGUUAGAUUGGAGGAGGUGGGUGGUGCAGAGACGAGGCGUGGUGCGCGGUACGAGGUAGUUUUAGAUGAGCGUGGGGAGAGUUGAGAGAGGAGCAUGUUGAUAGAGAUGGUGGGUUGCAGUGAGAGAGUUACGCGGUUCUUUUGGCGCGUUUAUACGUUUGUGUAAAGGAUAAUA